Molecule: ribosomal RNA, 501 nt
Filed under: uncultured bacterium
Lineage: Bacteria
Description: bacterial SSU rRNA
Rfam family: Bacterial small subunit ribosomal RNA
Source: RNAcentral
GAUGAACGCUAGCUACAGGCUUAACACAUGCAAGUCGCGGGCAGCAUGAAUUUAGCUUGCUAAAUUUGAUGGCGACCGGCGCACGGGUGAGUAACGCGUAUCCAACCUUCCCCUGUCCACGGGAUAGCCCGUCGAAAGGCGGAUUAAUACCGUAUGAGGUCACACGAUGGCAUCAGACUGUGACGAAAGGUUUGGCGGACAGGGAUGGGGAUGCGUCCGAUUAGGUAGUCGGCGGGUAACGGCCCACCGAGCCGACGAUCGGUAGGGGUUCUGAGAGGAAGGUCCCCCCACAUUGGAACUGAGACACGGUCCAAACUCCUACGGGAGGCAGCAGUGAGGAAUAUUGGUCAAUGGACGGAAGUCUGAACCAGCCAAGUAGCGUGCAGGACGACGGCCCUAAUGGGUUGUAAACUGCUUUUAUGUGGGAAUAAAGUGAGGGACGUGUCCCUUUUUGUAGGUACCACAUGAAUAAGGACCGGCUAAAUUCCGUGCCAGCAGCCG